UACGGAGGGGACUAGCGUUGUUCGGAAUUACUGGGCGUAAAGCGCACGUAGGCGGAUUUGUAAGUCAGGGGUGAAAUCCCGGGGCUCAACCUCGGAACUGCCUUUGAUACUGCAAAUCUCGAGUCCGGAAGAGGUGAGUGGAAUUCCUAGUGUAGAGGUGAAAUUCGUAGAUAUUAGGAAGAACACCAGUGGCGAAGGUGGCUCACUGGUCCGGUACUGACGCUGAGGUGCGAAAGCGUGGGGAGCAAACAGG
Molecule: ribosomal RNA, 253 nt
Filed under: uncultured bacterium
Lineage: Bacteria
Description: partial 16S ribosomal RNA
Rfam family: Bacterial small subunit ribosomal RNA
Source: RNAcentral